UNCGUGCGCCCGUNAAGCUAUGUUGAGGGCGCNUCCNAACGGCUCCGUAACACGUAGUUAACCUACCCUCGGGAUGGGGAUAACCCCGGGAAACUGGGAUUAAUACCCACUAGAUGAUUAUACCUGGAGUGGCUUAUCAUCGAAAGAGUCUGGAAACAUGCUUCCAGCUUCGCCCGAGGAUGGGACUGCGUCCGAUCAGGUUGUUGGCGGGGUAACGGCCCACCAAGCCUAUAACCGGUACGGGCCCUGAGAGGGGGAGCCCGGAGAUGGAAACUGAGAAAAGGUUCCAGGCCCUACGGGGUGCAGCAGGCGCGAAACCUCCACAAUGCGCGAAAGCGUGAUGGGGUUAUCCCGAGUGCCGUCCGAUGAGGAUGGCUUUUCAUCGGUGUAAGGAUCCGAUGGAAUAAAGGGGGGGCAAGACUGGUGUCAGCCGCCGCGGUAAUACCAGCCCCCUGAGUGGUAGGGACGAUUAUUUGGCCUAAAGCGUCCGUAGCCGGCUUAUCAAGUCUUUUGUUAAUCCAGCGAUUCAAUCGUUGGGCCCAAAAGAUCUGGUUA
RNAcentral lists this ribosomal RNA (555 nucleotides) under uncultured archaeon. Its description in RNAcentral is "bacterial SSU rRNA". It matches the Rfam family "Archaeal small subunit ribosomal RNA", at positions 52 to 590 of the family's 1478-position model. The record is from RNAcentral.